RNAcentral lists this small RNA (204 nucleotides) under Providencia alcalifaciens. RNAcentral's name for it is "SraG RNA". It matches the Rfam family "SraG RNA". Rfam says of the family: This RNA was discovered in E. coli during a large scale screen. Lineage: Bacteria; Pseudomonadati; Pseudomonadota; Gammaproteobacteria; Enterobacterales; Morganellaceae. The record is from RNAcentral.
UACAGCCUCGCGACUAAUGAGAGGAUUGAUAUUCCAAUCAUCAAUUCUCUCAUUAGCCGCGCGAAUUCGGAUGUAGUUUUCAGUGGUUUUAAUUAAAACAGUCAAUUAUCGAUAAUAGCUUAACAUUUUAGUUAAGUAUAAUUCGAGUAUUACUUCAACUUUCAAUUAACUUUUAGAAGAAAAGGGGCCAUUUGGCCCCUUUCC